Long non-coding RNA from Bubalus bubalis (water buffalo), 651 nucleotides. RefSeq lists it as uncharacterized. NCBI's taxonomy places the organism in Eukaryota, Metazoa, Chordata, Mammalia, Artiodactyla, Bovidae. The record is from RefSeq and is a predicted model, not a curated record. The transcript is spliced from 4 exons.
UCCCUCCCUCUCUGGGUGAGGCUGAAAGCAGGAGAAGGCCAGGGAGCAGGAAUCCUGUGAUGUCAUACAGACCCGCAGGUGGAGCAUACAGAGGGCGGGGCCAGAAGGCAGAGGGAGGAGGUCAGCACAGUUUACAAUGUGAAGGAAAGAAACCAAGGUCGGGGCGUGUGGGUGUGUGUGUGUGGGAGACACAAAGCCUGGGUUUCUCUGGCCUUGGACAAGACCUCAGUAGCAAGAAGACCAGGAGGUGUUGAAAAUCAGCAGCUGCUGCAGCAGAUGAUGUAAUCCUUGUAGAGGAAGAUGGCAAGUGCCAGUUUGUGGUUGAAACCCAUAUAAGUCAUACGAAUAUGUAUCAAUUUGAAGGCACUGGGUUUUCAAAUAUUUCUUAACUUAUAGACCACGACUAUACAGUAAAACAUGACAUCACCAAGAAAUUAGGUGUAGUUCUGUUGAAUCCUGUUCCUAAGUUUCAGGUGUACAGCACAAUAAUUCUGUUGAAGCUGAUCGGUUUUAUGAAGACCAACACCCUCGAGAACUAACACCAAAAAAGGAUGUCCUUUUUACCAUAGGGGAUUGGAAUGCAAACGUAGGAAGUCAAGAGAUACCCAGAAUAAAAGGCAAGUUUGGCCCUGGAGUACAAAAAGAAACAGG